Molecule: ribosomal RNA, 502 nt
Filed under: uncultured bacterium
Lineage: Bacteria
Description: partial 16S ribosomal RNA
Rfam family: Bacterial small subunit ribosomal RNA
Source: RNAcentral
GACGAACGCUGGCGGCGUGCUUAACACAUGCAAGUCGAACGGUGAAGGGGUCUGCUUUUGUGGGCCCUGGAUGAGUGGCGAACGGGUGAGUAACACGUGAGUAACCUGCCCCCUUCUUCUGGAUAACCGCAUGAAAGUGUGGCUAAUACGGGAUAUUCUGGGUCUGUCGCAUGAUGGGUCUGGGAAAGAUUGCGCCUUUGGGUGUUUUUGGUGGGGGAUGGGCUCGCGGCCUAUCAGCUUGUUGGUGGGGUGAUGGCCUACCAAGGCGGGGACGGGUAGCCGGCCUGAGAGGGUGGACGGUCACACUGGGACUGAGACACGGCCCAGACUCCUACGGGAGGCAGCAGUGGGGAAUAUUGCACAAUGGGCGCAAGCCUGAUGCAGCGACGCCGCGUGAGGGAUGGAGGCCUUCGGGUUGUAAACCUCUUUCGCCAGUGAAGCAGGCCUGCUCCUUGUGGGUGGGUUGACGGUAGCUGGAUAAGAAGCGCCGGCUAACUACGUG